This 600-nucleotide ribosomal RNA is filed under the name Triticum aestivum (bread wheat). RNAcentral describes it as "partial small subunit ribosomal RNA". The record is from RNAcentral. Lineage: Eukaryota; Viridiplantae; Streptophyta; Magnoliopsida; Poales; Poaceae.
CUGCAGCCGCUCCUUGACAAGCUGCUAGCGAGACUCGCCUCCUGGAAGCUCAAACUGCUCACUAUGGCUGGGCGGCUUGUCCUGCUCAAUGCAGUGCUCUCGGCGUUCACCGUCUACUGGAUGUCGGUCCAUGUGUUGCCAUCCUGGGCGCGUCGUGCCAUCGACCGUGCUCGCCGCGCUUGGCUCUGGAAGGGACAUGAGGAAUGCCAUGGAGGCCACUGUAAAGUAGUGUGGGGCAGGAUCUGCAGGCCGCGGGAUCUUGGGGGCCUGGGGAUACUGGACAUUGAUCGCUUUGGCACUGCACUUCAUCUCCGAUGGCUCUGGGUAGAAAGAACGGCAGUGCAACGGCCUUGGUUUGGGCUCCCGGUGCCGUGUUCGUUGGAGGACAGGGCCCUGUUCGCUGCGGCCACUGUUGCCGUGGUUCACGACGGUCGAACAGCUUCGUUCUGGUUCGAUAGUUGGGUCAAUGGGCCGCAGAUUUUCGGUUUCUCGCGCCGCAAAUGGAGGUCUGUUCGUGAUGCCCUUGAUGCCAGCAAAUGGGUGCAUGACCUUAGAGGCCGCAUCACUGCCGAGUUGCUCUCGGAGUUCGUGGGCCUCUAG